UACGUAGGGUGCGAGCGUUAAUCGGAAUUAUUGGGCGUAAAGCGUGCGCAGGCGGUUUUUUAAGUCAGAUGUGAAAUCCCCGGGCUUAACCUGGGAACUGCGUUUGAAACUAGAAGGCUAGAGUGUAGCAGAGGGGGGUGGAAUUCCACGUGUAGUGGUGAAAUGCGUAGAGAUGUGGAGGAACACCGAUGGCGAAGGCAGCCCCCUGGACUAACACUGACGCUCAGGCGCGAAAGCGUGGGGAGCAAACAGG
This 253-nucleotide ribosomal RNA is filed under the name uncultured bacterium. RNAcentral's name for it is "partial 16S ribosomal RNA". It matches the Rfam family "Bacterial small subunit ribosomal RNA", at positions 524 to 776 of the family's 1533-position model. The record is from RNAcentral.